CAUGUGUAACCCAGGUCACUUGAACGCCCCAUAAUUCCUCCCCACACCUGAACUGUGUGGCACUAAUCACAGCUCCGGGCCUCCUGCACUGUGAUUGGCUCAGACCCUGACUAGCCAAAAAAACAAGAUGGCUGCGCCCACUGCCAGUCCUGCACUCCGGCUGUGACUGUGUUCGCUUCUGUUACUCACUUUCAAAUCAUCAUUGCUCUCUCAAAUAUUGGACAUUUGUGCCAAACCCUCCAUAACUCUACGAGAACCGGCAGCACCCCGGCUUCAAACUCCUCCAUCCUCCGCUACACACCUCUCAGAAUCAAUGGUGAGUCAAACUAAUAUGUACUGACAUAGGUCCUAUGUUCAAUAUUACGUAUUAUUCAUUAGAUCCCGUGAUUUUAUGUGUUUUUGCCACUUCCGGGUUGUCGCCGGACUAUUUUCGUCUGCUUUCUUGUCUGUGUUUGGGCUCCUGAUUUCUCGUCAGAUGCCCAAACAUGGCUGAAAUGACUCUUGUGUUUAGGGUACAACUAGUACUAUGUCAUAUAUUUGCUGUUUGCCGAUACCUCUGUUUGUUUUGUAAUUAAUUGUUGAUAAAGCCAUGCUAAUAGCAAUGCUAAGCUAGCGGUCCAUGAACAGUAAUGGGGUUAGGCUAUUAGUACUAGUAAUGACCUUUACACUGAACCUAUUGUUUUAUUUAAAUGUUGCGCAACUGUAAAUGUUUAUUCAUUCAUUUGAUUGAUUGGAAAAAAUGUGAAUGAUGUGUUAAUCUACUGAUGAAAUAAGAAAUGGGAUGGAAUAAGAAUUUAAUCUGUUAACAGAAGACAAUGUUAGUAACGGAGAAACUUAUUGGUUUUCUCCUAUGACCUCUUUCCAGGUCAGGUUUUUUUCCCCCGUCCCACAUCACGUCCACUGAAUGGGACCAGAUUCCUCUACUGAGGUGGCGAGCUGAAGCCUGGUAGAAUCAAAUAUUUUUUUUUUAUUUACCCACUUCUCCGGAUUGUGGAUUAUUAUAAACUGAACCGUGAGCUCAAGUCAAGGAUCGUGAUAAAGCAGAUUGUGCGCUCAAACCAAACUUAAAAAAGAAGUGUCAUCUUAUACUUGAUGCAAGGUUUUUUUUCUUUUUUUUUCCUUUGUUUGUUGUCCUCUGUUGAAUGAUUUGUCUCUGAGAUAUUGUUCAUUUUAUUUUCAAUUAUUCUUACAAUAUAAUUCACUUAAACUUAA
This is a long non-coding RNA of Acanthochromis polyacanthus (spiny chromis), 1212 nucleotides long. RefSeq lists it as uncharacterized. The transcript is spliced from 2 exons. The record is from RefSeq and is a predicted model, not a curated record. NCBI's taxonomy places the organism in Eukaryota, Metazoa, Chordata, Actinopteri, Pomacentridae.